AUUGAACGCUGGCGGCAUGCUUUACACAUGCAAGUCGAACGGUAACAGGUUAAGCUGACGAGUGGCGAACGGGUGAGUAAUGCAUCGGAACGUGCCCGGUCGUGGGGGAUAACGCAGCGAAGGCUGCGCUAAUACCGCAUACGAUCUGAGGAUGAAAGCGGGGGACCGUAAGGCCUCGCGCGAUCGGAGCGGCCGAGGUCAGAUUAGGUAGUUGGGGGGGUAAAGGCGCACCAAGCCAACGAUCUGUAGCUGGUCUGAGAGGACGACCAGCCACAGUGGGGCUGAGACACGGCUCAGACUCCUGCGGGAGGCAGCAGUGGGAAAUGUUGGACAAUGGGCGAAAGCCUGAUCCAGCGAUGCCGCGUGCAGGAAGAAGGCGUUCGGGUUGUUAACUGCUUUUGUACGGAGCGAAAAGGUCUCCUCUAAUACAGGGGGCUCAUGACGGUACCGUAAGAAUAAGCACCGGCUAACUACGUGCCAGCAGCCGCCGUAA
This 493-nucleotide ribosomal RNA is filed under the name uncultured bacterium. Its description in RNAcentral is "partial 16S ribosomal RNA". It matches the Rfam family "Bacterial small subunit ribosomal RNA", at positions 29 to 523 of the family's 1533-position model. The record is from RNAcentral.